This 316-nucleotide long non-coding RNA is filed under the name Gossypium barbadense (sea-island cotton). RNAcentral describes it as "long non-coding RNA (GBAR_LNC002955)". Lineage: Eukaryota; Viridiplantae; Streptophyta; Magnoliopsida; Malvales; Malvaceae. The record is from RNAcentral.
CAACUCAACUAGUCGCAAGAAGAAAGGCUGGGUAGGAUCGUAAACUCAUCUGCGAACACCUAACUGCUGAGGUUGGUUCCGAGCCUUAGAUGGGAAUUCUCGGGCUUCUCUUGACCUGUGAAGAAAAGCUUUUUCAGGUGUUAAAAAAAGUAUUGUAGGAUAAUCGGCAUCUGUCCCUCGAGAAAGAGUAAGAUAGGCAAAAAGGCAUAGAGACAACAGCGGUAAUGCCGCAUCUCUCGAUGAGAAUGAAUCCUGGAAAAAAGAGCAAAGAAAAGCCUUUCUUCUUCUGCCUUCUGACUCUAUCUUGCCCUUUCUU